This 477-nucleotide ribosomal RNA is filed under the name Salmonella enterica subsp. enterica serovar Derby. RNAcentral's name for it is "partial 23S ribosomal RNA". It matches the Rfam family "Bacterial large subunit ribosomal RNA", at positions 1292 to 1768 of the family's 2925-position model. The record is from RNAcentral. Lineage: Bacteria; Pseudomonadati; Pseudomonadota; Gammaproteobacteria; Enterobacterales; Enterobacteriaceae.
GAAUGCUGACAUAAGUAACGAUAAAGCGGGUGAAAAGCCCGCUCGCCGGAAGACCAAGGGUUCCUGUCCAACGUUAAUCGGGGCAGGGUGAGUCGACCCCUAAGGCGAGGCCGAAAGGCGUAGUCGAUGGGAAACGGGUUAAUAUUCCCGUACUUGGUGUUACUGCGAAGGGGGGACGGAGAAGGCUAUGUUGGCCGGGCGACGGUUGUCCCGGUUUAAGCGUGUAGGUGUGUGUUCCAGGUAAAUCCGGUUCACUUUAACACUGAGGCGUGAUGACGAGGCACUACGGUGCUGAAGCAACAAAUGCCCUGCUUCCAGGAAAAGCCUCUAAGCAUCAGGUAACAUCAAAUCGUACCCCAAACCGACACAGGUGGUCAGGUAGAGAAUACCAAGGCGCUUGAGAGAACUCGGGUGAAGGAACUAGGCAAAAUGGUGCCGUAACUUCGGGAGAAGGCACGCUGACAUGUAGGUGAAGUG